UUGUUGCCACGUUAAAAACCUUGCAAGGAAAACUCAGUGGGACAAAACCUUGUAAGGGAAAAAGAGUGCAACGCGUAUUAACUCCCCCUGAAGAGAGCAUCAAUUCACAUCCUUGAGCCUUCGCGUUCCAAUCUUGUGCACCAUCUUCAAGAGAUCGUUAGUAAAUUUGAUAAAUAAAAUCAGUCAUAUUAACUAUAAUGAAUAUUUGCACCUUUGAAAUCAUAACUCGUGAUAGAUAUAUAAUGUCUUCACAGAUAUCGUGGAAUGACUCUUCAAUAUCUCCAUAAAGGUAUCCUCGCUAUCACAUUAUCAUGCUU
Molecule: long non-coding RNA, 317 nt
Filed under: Nicotiana benthamiana
Lineage: Eukaryota; Viridiplantae; Streptophyta; Magnoliopsida; Solanales; Solanaceae
Description: long non-coding RNA (NBEN_LNC038153)
Source: RNAcentral